CCCAGACUCCUACGGGAGGCAGCAGUGAGGAAUAUUGGUCAAUGGGCUUACGCCUGAACCAGCCAAGUCGCGUGAGGGAAGACUGCCCUAUGGGUUGUAAACCUCUUUUGUCAGGGAGCAACGCCGGCUACGUGUAGCCGGACUGAGAGUACCUGAAGAAAAAGCAUCGGCUAACUCCGUGCCAGCAGCCGCGGUAAUACGGAGGAUGCGAGCGUUAUCCGGAUUUAUUGGGUUUAAAGGGUGCGUAGGCGGAAUGCCAAGUCAGCGGUAAAAUCGCGGGGCUCAACCCCAUCCAGCCGUUGAAACUGGGGAUCUAGAGUGUGCGAGAGGUAUGCGGAAUGCGUGGUGUAGCGGUGAAAUGCAUAGAUAUCACGCAGAACUCCGAUUGCGAAGGCAGCAUGCCGGCUCCACACUGACGCUGAGGCACGAAAGCGUGGGUAUCGAACAGGAUUAGAUACCCGUGUAAC
This 467-nucleotide ribosomal RNA is filed under the name uncultured bacterium. Its description in RNAcentral is "bacterial SSU rRNA". It matches the Rfam family "Bacterial small subunit ribosomal RNA", at positions 330 to 795 of the family's 1533-position model. The record is from RNAcentral.